Molecule: long non-coding RNA, 3591 nt
Organism: Ictalurus punctatus (channel catfish)
Lineage: Eukaryota; Metazoa; Chordata; Actinopteri; Siluriformes; Ictaluridae
Source: Ensembl
UAAGCAUUCAUUUAUACAACUGAGCAGUUGAGGCUUAAGGGCCUUGCUAAAGGGCCCAACAGUAGCAGCUUGACAGUGCUGGGAUUUGAACUCAAGACCUUCCGAUCAGAAGUCUAAAUUUUACUCAAUAAGAGUAAAGUGUUGCAGUGCAUCUUGGAAAAGCAGCUCCCUUAUAUUAUUUAUAUAUAUAUAUAUUUUAAUUUUUUUUUGCGAGAGAUCAUGUUUUGUCCCCCAAAGUGAUAUUAUCUGGCGUUGCUGCGCUGGAUUCUGCUACGUUUGCAUUAUUAAGCAGUAAAUACAAGCACGUCUACAACUGACAGGAGGGACUUAAAACCAACCACAGACUCUGGCGCUAAAGUGUGUUUUAUUUCAGGCAUUAUUUUUUUCCUCGGGCGUACGAUACGCUUGCCUUUUCAUCAGCUCGAUUGAAUCAUUCUAAAAUUUCACUCGGCUUUUAUUUUUUAUUAUACUUUGCAGCAUAAUGAAAAGGGUUUUUUUUUUUUUUUUUUUUUUUAUUUCACUGUUCUCUCCGGUGCAAGCAUAUACAACAGUACAGCUUAAGAAUCAAAGGAGGUCGAGGUAGUUCAAUAGCAUGCAGUAAUAUCUGUGGUAACUUAUAGAAUAAUGAUAUGAUGAUCAAAUAUUAAUAGCUUAUAUGCAAUUCAGAUGCAUUUCAAUAGAAAUACCAAAUUUCUCCUGAUCAAUAUUUUUAUUGUUCUUAGCAUGCAAAUAUCUGAUGAUAAUUAAACAUACAAUUAUGCACAGAUUAUAGUAUCUGUAUAUGGCUUUAGGGAUGUCCAGGAGAUCUCAUGCCAAGGCAUGAUUUUAAAAAAAAUUCCAUCUCAAUUAAUAGCCUCUAUUAUGAUAUAAUCAUGAUGCUUGACUUGUAUAUAGAUGCAUAAUAGUUAACGAUUUACAGUCAUUUGUGGACUAUACACACACACACACACACACACACACACACACACACACACACACACACAUAUUCCAGUAUCUGAAAUAUUACAGUGUUUCAAAUCUAAAAGGACAUUUCAGAUCUUGAGAAGUUAACUGAGCGGAAUAUGAGAAGGAACUGAACAUGUAGACAUCUCGUAGUGAAACAUCCUCAGGUGUAGAUAGAUUCAGUUAAUAUAUUCAUCUGGAUCAUGUAUUUAAGACUGCUGACCUGUUAUCUUUUUCCUACUAAUAAAAUUGUGAUGUGAUAGAGACUGUACUAUGUGACUGUUAAGCGUUUUCGGUGGUACAACUGAUCGUUUUAGUAGAUGUUAUAUAUUUAUCAUAUGCGUAAAUAGUUGAAUAUUUGUAUUUGUAUGUGAAAUAUGCGUUCUUAGAAACAUCUUAGUAACAUUUAGUGGACAUUUAUAUAUCUCUGUUUCUGUCAUUAAAUGGACUAUGUUGAUGAUGAAUGUGCUCAAUGACUACAUUAGUCGUGCUUCUUUCUUGGUUUUUGUUUUUGUUUUGUUUUUUAAGAAUAUCUGUGUGGCAGGCUGGGAAAACCAUACACAUGGUGAAAUUUAGACUUUUUUUUUUUUUACUAUAGUUCUGAAUACUAUAGACUUUCCUAAAGUUAAAUGUGUUUGUACGGUAUCUCAAUGACAAGUGAAGUUCUAACAGGUGGAAAGGGAGAAAAUUGCAUUUAAAGAUUUCGCAGAAGAAUCACGUGGGACAUUUUGACAGCUACUUUUUUAUUUCAAAACUGAAUUUAUUGUUGCACUUAUCCAACAAAGCACUAUGUGAGUACAUCAUAGUAAUUACACUGUUUGUACCACCAUUGUACCUUUACCCAAUAUGAUCUUAGCAGGAAGAUGCCAAGACAAUUUUUUUUAUUUUAUUUAAAAUGAUAAAUAUUUCUGUCAUUUCUGGAAAUAUGUCCAUGUUUCUAUGAUCUGAGAAGUCAAAGUAUGCUACAGGCAGAAACUUGAAGUUUUCUCAGACUGCUACACUUUUAUUUUAAGGAAUAUUUAUUAGGGGUUAAUUGAGGUCUUGUUCAUUGUUCGGUAAAGCCCAAAUAGGACACUUGUAUUUAUUUAUUAGGGGUUUAUUAGUUUAUUCAGUAUGAAUUAGAUUUUAUUCACAAACACAUGUAUUGGGUGAUAAUCAGGGAUCUGUUGUGUGAAAAUUACAAAUAAAUCCAUUAUUAAUUGUGAUAAUGUGCAAAGUAAUGCUUUGUUAAGGCCUCGUUAUCUGAGAAGUUAACGUAUGUUACGGGCAGAAACCUGAUUUUGUGUUUGUUUUUUUUGUUGUUGUUGUUUUGUUUUUGUUUUCCCAGACUGCCAGACAUUUAAACAUGUAUAUAUAGAAACUGUCAUAUUUCCUGAUAAUUAUGAAACUCCUACUGUUGUCGCUGAAAGUUUCCUUAUGUUUUAAGUUCUUCCUUAAAAACUAUACAGUGCCAUCCAGUAAUAUUGGCACUCAUGGUAAAUAGGAGCAGAGACGGCUGUGAAAAAUUGUCUUUAUUGUUUAACCUUUUGAUUUUUUGUUAAAAAACAAAACAAAAUACUCUGCUCUCAUGGAUAUCAAACAAUUGCACACACAACACAGGUUUAGCCAAAAAAAAUCUUUGUUACGUAUAGGUGUGCAACAAUUAUUGGCACACUUUUAGUCAAUACUUUGUGCUACUUCCCUUUGCAACAUAACCGCUCGGAGUCUUCUGCUACAAUCCCUGAUGAGGUUGGAGAAUACAUGGUGAGGGAUCUGAGAGCGUUCCUCCAUACAGAAUCUCUCCAGAUCCUUCACAUCUCGAGGUCCACGCUGGUGGAGUCUCCUCUUCAGUUCACCCCACAGGUUUACUAUGGGGUUCAGGUCAGGGGACUGGGAUGGUCAUGGCAGGACCUUGAUUUUGAGGUCAGUAAACCAUUUUUGUGUUGAUUUUGAUGAUGUUUUGGAUCAUUGUCCUGCUGGAAGAUCCAACCACGGCCCAUUUGAAUCUUUCUGUCAGAGGCAGUCAGGUUUUCAUUUAAUAUCUGUUGAUAUUUGAUAGAGUCCAUGAUGCCACGUAUCCUAACAAAAUGUCCAGGUCCUCUGGCAGAAAAACAGCCCCAAAACAUUAAAGAUCCACCUCCAUAUUUAACUGUGGGCAUGAGGUACUUUUCCAUAUGGCUACCUCUCUGUGUGCUCCAAAACCACCUGUGUUUAUUACCAAAAAGCUCUAUUUUGAUUUCAUCUGACUAUAGAACCCGAUCCCAUUUGAAGUUCCAGUAGUGUCGGCAAACUGAAGACUCUCGAGUUUGUUUUUGGAUGAGAGUAGAGGCUUUUUCUCUUGAAACCCUUCCAAACAGCUUGUGGUGAUGUCGGUGACUUCAGAUUGUAGUUUUGGAGACUUUCUGACCCCAAGACACAACUCACUUCUGCAGUUCUCCAGCUGUGAUCCUUGGAGAUUUUACAGCCACUCGAACCGUCCUCUUCACAGUGUGUUGAGACGAUACAGACACACGUCCAAUUCCGAGUAAUUCAUAACAUUUCCAGUUGACUGGAACUUCUUAAUUAUUGCCCUGAUGGUGGAAAUGGCCAUUUUCAAUGCAUUUCCACUUCCCCUUUUUUGAAGCUCAACAACCUUUUGCUGCACAUCACAGCUAUAUUCCUAUAUAUAUA